AGAAGUCCAUUUUAAAUAUAAAGAUGCAUAAAGGUUGAAAGUACAGGGGUGGAGAACGAUAUUCCAUGCUGGCACUAAUCAAAAGAAAGUGGGAGUUUCAGACAGAACUCCAGAACAAGGAGUAUUCUUAGGCAUAAUGGGAAGUAUUGGAUAAUGAUAAAGGAGCCAAUACUCCAAGAAAACAUAGUGGUGCCUCUUAUGUUUGUACCUAAUAACAGCAUCAAAGUAUGUGAGACAAAACCUCAUAGCACUGCAAGGAGAAACAGAUGAACCAGCUCCUAUCAUUGAAGACUUUCAGCAUCCUUCUAUCAGUAAUGGACAGAUUUAGCAGGCAGAUCGUCAUGAACUCUAUAACACCAUCAGUUAACUGAGUAUAAUUGGCACAUAUAGAAUACCUCACCUCAAGCUCACAUGAGACAUUCACCAAAAUCGAUCACAUUUGAGCAUGAAAAAGCACAACUUCACAAGUUUAAAAGAAUAGACACCAUAUGAUGUAUGCUCUUGGAACACAAAUGAACUAAACUGGAAAGAUAUCUGCAAGAUUCACAAAUGCACUGAGAUGAAAUAACACACUUCUACAAAACACAUUGGUCAAAGAAGAAAUUCUAAGAGAAAUUUUUGAACUAAAUGAAAAUAAAACCAUAAUUUACCAAAAUUUGUGAGACAAAGAUAUAGCUGUGCUUAGAGUGAAAUUUAUAGCAUUGAAUAUUUUUUUAAUUUUAAUUAAAAAAAAUUUUUGUAGUUGUAGAUGGACAGAAUGCCUCUACUUUAUUUGUUUAUUUCUAUGUGGUGCUGAGUAUCGAACCCAGUGCCUCAUACAUGCUAGGCAAGCACUCUGCUACUGAGCCCCAGCCCCAGCCCACAUUCAAUAUUUUUUAAAAAUACCUUUCCC
RNAcentral lists this long non-coding RNA (892 nucleotides) under Marmota monax (woodchuck). Lineage: Eukaryota; Metazoa; Chordata; Mammalia; Rodentia; Sciuridae. The record is from RNAcentral.